AUUCUAAUUUACAAAUUAGUACUAUGGGUGGGAGAUGUGAGCUGAAUCAAAAAAAAAAAAAAAAAAUUGUUUGAAUGUUGUUGGUGAUGUGGAGAAAUGUGCGUGCCAAAUGCUAGAGAAAUUGCAAAUCGGGUUGUAUGUGUGUGUAUUUUGAUGGCGUUCUGAAGGAAGAUGUGCAACGAGUUGAAUAUUUUAUUAUUUUCUGUUGUAGGAAUUAUUUGCGAAAAUAUGUAUUGUGCUCAGUGGGGUUAGAAGAUUUAGGCUAGAGGUUAGGAUACUUAGAAAAUAUUUGUAUAUGUAUUUUACACCAUAUUUGCAAAAGCACUGAUUGCAUGAGACUUUUUUAUGAAUUCUUUGUUUCUUGAUUCUGAUAUUCACACGAAAAUGAACUAAUCUACGAAGAACUUAGGUUGCAUAUGUUUUUUAAUUUAAAUUUUUACAGUCAUAAAAAUUUUGUAAAUUUUCACCAAUAUAAAAAUAUUUUACAAAGAUUGGGCAUUGCUUUUUCCAUCUAGCCGUUGGCAUCCAAAUUAAAACUGUUUGCACUUGAUGUGGCAGAUAUUAGCUGGUGUCAGAAACAAAGAAGUUCCGAAAACCAAACAGGCACAGGCAGGUUCUGAUUUAAGGCAAUAAAUUGCAUGAAUUUCAGUGCAUGUCUCUCGUAGCUCAGCCGUCCGUAGAUAACUUCAAAUUGCUCAAUUUUUUCUGUUGCAUAUUAGACAUAUCAUCCUUUUAUAUUUUUGAUCGACCAAAAUCUAAUAAACUAUAACUUAUAUUCGGAAAUUUGUUUCGGUGGAUCUGUGAAUUUUGAAGCAGUGCUUGCAGAAUUUUAUUCCUAUUUCUGCACUGUCACAGUUAAACCUAGUUUAUCUUCUCGCUUAAUUAUUUUGCAUAAAAGGAAAUUAAUUUAUUUUUUAAUUGAUGACUUUUCACUUUAAAAUUGAAAUACUUAGUUUUUUGGUUAUUCAAUUUAUCUUUUUUCGCUCGGAAUUUUUUAUUCAAAAUACAUACACAUUUUGAUGCUUUCACUUGAAAUAAACAUAGUAAGAAAGUAGAAAAAAUAUUUAGAAUUAAUUUUAAGGGGGAAUGCUUUGAAGUGGCAGUGGCUUACCAUAAACAGUUUUGGAACAUUCCAGUAAUUUUUUUUUGCAAACAUUGAGGUUAGUUAUCGACAAGAAAGUGACCAUAAACAGACGCGCUUUAUUCUCUGUUCUCCAAACGAGAGACAACCAACGACUUUCUCAACAAAAAUUUGCAUAAUUCGCGAUUUAGCAAAUCUUAGUCGUCCGAACUAUUUCUAAAAAUGAGAAUUUGAAAUUUUCAGUAACUAAGCCAUCUUUAAGCGGAUUUGUGAUCAACGAAUUAAUUUUUAUGUAUAAGUUUUAUUUAUUACAUAAUUCUAAUGAUUUUAAUUUAGCGGCUAUUUAAUACUAAAAUAACUCAAAUUUACCUAUAACCGUUUUUCUAGUGUGGAUUUUUUUUAUGUCCACUUGUGGACGGCCAUUUUUACCACCACUUAAAAGAAAAAAAUUAGAUAGAAUUUCAUAAGUUAUUAAACUCUAAUAUGAAUAUUUUUUUUUAUUAGUUCGCACUGUAACAAAAACUACACAAAUAAGUUUCAAACUCUGUACAAAAUUCAUUCAAAUUUUGAACUCCAACCACAUUUUUUAUAAAUAUGCAGUUUAAUACCUCAUUUAAUUUUAAUGUGGUAUAGUGUAAGUUUGAAGUAGCUCAUAAUUCUGGUUGACUUGAAAAAAUUUUUCUAUACGAUGGUGCGCAUUUUUCGCAUAAAAAUAUGGAAAAAACUACACAAUCGCCGGAAAAAAAAAUAUCAGCGAGAACUUUGAGCCACUUCAAACAAACAUGCACAUUAUUAUGUUAAAAUUAAAUGGGCAAACUGCAAACCCGAAAUUUUCGAAAA
Molecule: long non-coding RNA, 1921 nt
Organism: Rhagoletis zephyria (snowberry fruit fly)
Lineage: Eukaryota; Metazoa; Arthropoda; Insecta; Diptera; Tephritidae
Source: RefSeq, a predicted model, not a curated record